RNAcentral lists this ribosomal RNA (152 nucleotides) under uncultured Nitrosomonas sp. RNAcentral describes it as "partial 16S ribosomal RNA". It matches the Rfam family "Bacterial small subunit ribosomal RNA", at positions 338 to 482 of the family's 1533-position model. The record is from RNAcentral. Lineage: Bacteria; Pseudomonadati; Pseudomonadota; Betaproteobacteria; Nitrosomonadales; Nitrosomonadaceae.
CCUACGGGAGGCAGCAGUGGGGAAUUUUGGACAAUGGGCGAAAGCCUGAUCCAGCAAUGCCGCGUGAGUGAAGAAGGCCUUCGGGUUGUAAAGCUCUUUCAGUCGAGAAGAAAAGGUUGUGACUAAUAAUCACAAUUUAUGACGGUAUCGAC